AAACUUACCUGGCUGGCGCUCGGGGUGGCUCACGUAUCACCCUGUCGUGGCUCGGAGCGGGGCAUUGCACUCAGCUGACUGUAAUGAGCCAUGGGCUCUCCGUUGUGAGAGUGCCAACAGCAUAAUUUUUGCCUGCGGUGACCUUUUUAGGACGCCAA
Molecule: small nuclear RNA, 158 nt
Organism: Babesia bigemina
Lineage: Eukaryota; Apicomplexa; Aconoidasida; Piroplasmida; Babesiidae
Rfam family: U1 spliceosomal RNA
About the family: U1 is a small nuclear RNA (snRNA) component of the spliceosome (involved in pre-mRNA splicing). Its 5' end forms complementary base pairs with the 5' splice junction, thus defining the 5' donor site of an intron. There are significant differences in sequence and secondary structure between metazoan and yeast U1 snRNAs, the latter being much longer (568 nucleotides as compared to 164 nucleotides in human).
Source: Rfam